This 1180-nucleotide ribosomal RNA is filed under the name Pseudomonas luteola. RNAcentral describes it as "bacterial SSU rRNA". It matches the Rfam family "Bacterial small subunit ribosomal RNA", at positions 136 to 1299 of the family's 1533-position model. Lineage: Bacteria; Pseudomonadati; Pseudomonadota; Gammaproteobacteria; Pseudomonadales; Pseudomonadaceae. The record is from RNAcentral.
GUGGGGGACAACGUUUCGAAAGGAACGCUAAUACCGCAUACGUCCUAGGUACCCGGGAGAAAGUGGGGGAUCUUCGGACCUCACGCUAUCAGAUGAGCCUAGGUCGGAUUAGCUAGUUGGUGAGGUAACGGCUCACCAAGGCGACGAUCCGUAACUGGUCUGAGAGGAUGAUCAGUCACACUGGAACUGAGACACGGUCCAGACUCCUACGGGAGGCAGCAGUGGGGAAUAUUGGACAAUGGGCGAAAGCCUGAUCCAGCCAUGCCGCGUGUGUGAAGAAGGCCCUCGGGUCGUAAAGCACUUUAAGCUGGGAGGAAGGGUUGUAACCUAAUACGUUGCAGCUUUGACGUUACCAGCAGAAUAGCUGACCGGCUAACUCUGUGCCAGCAGCCGCGGUAAUACAGAGGGUGCAAGCGUUAACGGAAUUACUGGGCGUAAAGCGCGCGUAGGUGGCUUGGUAAGUUGAAUGUGAAAUCCCCGGGCUCAACCUGGGAACUGCAUCCAAAACUGCCUGGCUAGAGUACGGUAGAGGGUGGUGGAAUUUCCUGUGUAGCGGUGAAAUGCGUAGAUAUAGGAAGGAACACCAGUGGCGAAGCGACCNCCUGGACUGAUACUGACACUGAGGUGCGGAAAGCGUGGGGAGCUUCGUGGAUUAGAUACCCUGGUAGUCCACGCCGUAAACGAUGUCAACUAGCCGUUGGGGUCCUUGAGACUUUAGUGGCGCAGCUAACGCAAUAAGUUGACCGCCCUGGGAGUACGGCCGCAAGGUUAAAACUCAAAUGAAUUGACGGGGGCCCGCACAAGCGGUGGAGCAUGUGGUUUAAUUCGAAGCAACGCGAAGAACCUUACCAGGCCUUGACAUGCAGAGAACUUUCCAGAGAUGGAUUGGUGCCUUCGGGAACUCUGACACAGGUGCUGCAUGGCUGUCGUCAGCUCGUGUCGUGGCUGCAUUGGGUUAAGUCCCGUAACGAGCGCAACCCUGUCCUUAGUUACCAGCACAUUAUGGUGGGCACUCUAAGGAGACUGCCGGUGACAAACCGGAGGAAGGUGGGGAUGACGUCAAGUCAUCAUGGCCCUUACGGCUGAGGCUACACACGUGCUACAAUGGUCGGUACAAAGGGUUGCCAAGCCGCGAGGUGGAGCUAUUGAUCAUCCCAUAAAACCGAUCGUAGUCCGGAUC